CACACACACACACACACACACACACACACACACACACAGGACGAAUACAGCUCUUAACGUGAGGGAGUAGCACACUCACACACACACACACACACACACACACACACACACACACACACAGGACAAAUACAGCUCUUAACAUGAGGGAGUCACACACACACCCACACAUGGGACGAAUACAGCUCUUAACGAGGUGACCUGGAGGUCUCGUAUCGCUAACCUGCAGAAGUCCGAUCUUCUGGGCCUCACCAAUCCAGCGGGAGCCGUGCGUCCAGAGAGAAGAGAUCCUGAGUCUCUGAUGGCUGAUCUGGACGAACGAGGGAUCAGGGAGCGGAGGCGAGCAAGAGCCCAGAGACGAGCGAGAGCAGGAGAGAACUUUGACCAUGAGCUGAGUGGAGAGGAAGGAAACGGGCAGGACCCACAGACGGACCGGCAAACGAGCGACAGGUCUCACCAGUCUUUCAAUGACUGUAACGUAGGAAGAGGAUCAGAAACAAAGGACUACAAGAAGUUGUUUGAUGAUCUGUCUCGGGAGAACACUGUUCUUCAGUCCCAGCUGCAGGACACCCAGAGGACCGUCACCCAGACCAGAAUGGACCUGGACAAAGCCACACAGAGACAGGACCGCUUCAGUGACUGUUCCGCCCUCCUGGAGAUGGAGAAGAAGGAGAGGAGGAUGUUGGAACGUCGUGUGGCAGAAUUGGAGGAGGAGCUAAAAGUGCUGGGGGAUUUAAGAGCAGAUAACCAGCGGCUGAAGGAUGAGAACGGCGCUCUCAUCCGGGUCAUCAGCAAACUUUCCAAAUAGACGGGGAGAUCGAGGGAGAGGAAGAACGACAGAAGAAAUAAAAAAGAAAGACACUCUCUCUCCUCCUCUGUACACACACACACACACUCCCUCACUCUCUCUCUCUCUCUCUCCUCCUCUAUACGUAUACACACACACACACACACACACAUACACUCCUCCUCCACAUACAUACACACAUUCUCUCCCUUCCACACACACACACACAUACACUCUGCCUCUUUCCUCACACACUGUUCCAGUGCCAAAGAAAGAAUGAGAGAGAGAGAGAGAGAGAGAAACAUGGAAGGAGAGCGAGAGAGAGAAGAAUGUCUUGUUUGUACCAGCAGCUGAAUUACAGACUGUUUCUACGAUAUAUUUGUGUGUGUGUGUGCGCACGCUCACUGCCUCCACACACACACACACACACACACACACACACAUACACACACACUCAUCUAGGACCUGCCAACAGUGGCGACCAAUUCAGCACGACCAAUCAGAGGAGAGAGGCUGGAGGAGAGGCACACACACCUCAGAAUAUAACACCUCUCUCCCUGCCACAUGCUCACACACACACACACACACACACACACACACACAUACACAUAUUGUCACAGUUGCUGUCCUAGGUGUUUGACAAGUCCCACACACACUCCACAUGCACUUCACACGCGUUCCAUCCGUCAGGAGCAGUUGAAACCUGAGGAUCACCAGCACUGGUAGUGUGUUUUAACCACACACACACACACACACACACACACACACACACACACCCUUAGUAGAGGUUUUAACAUGAAUGCACAGGCGGGAUCAGUAUUGAUUUUAUGUAGCACCCUCUCACUUACCAUGAGCUCCUUCUUCAAACAACCAGCUCCUGUUCAAAUCAAACCCAAAUACACACACACACACACACACAUUCCCACACACUGUUUUUUAUUUAUAUCUCUGCACCUAGGUCUACAACAGGAGUCUGGGCAGACUCGGCCCCCAGAGACAAAAGGAAAUGUUCUUAUUUCACCUCCAUCGUCAGGAGCCUGAGGAGUUCACUAGCGGAGUCUUUAGCCUGAGGAGUUCACUAGCGGAGUUCACUAGCGGAGUCUUUAGCCUGAGGAGUUCACUAGCGGAGUUCACUAGCGGAGUCUUUAGCCUGAGGAGUUCACUAGCGGAGUUCACUAGCGGAGUUCACUAGCAGAGUUCACUAGCGGAGUCUUUAGCCUGAGGAGUUCACUAGCGGAGUCUUUAGCCUGAGGAGUUCACUAGCGGAGUUCACUAGAGAAGUUCACUAGCGGAGUCUUUAGCCUGAGGAGUUCACUAGCGGAGUUCACUAGCGGAGUUCACUAGCAGAGUUCACUAGCAGAGUUCACUAGCGGAGUCUUUAGCCUGAGGAGUUCACUAGCGGAGUCUUUAGCCUGAGGAGUUCACUAGCGGAGUUCACUAGCGGAGUUCACUAGCAGAGUUCACUAGAGGAGUUCACUAGCGGAGUCUUUAGCCUGAGGAGUUCACUAGCAGAGUUCACUAGCGGAGUCUUUAGCAGCGUCACUGUUUUUAGCACACAGCGGGAAAACCAGGAAAUGGUAAAAAGCUGACUGACGUUAUUGGGUUUGCACAUGGGUGAGGAGCAGCUAGUUCCUCUCUUGCACGCACACGCACACACGCACGCACGCACGCGCACACACACACACACACACACACACACACACACACUGAAAGUCACCGCACCGUCCAUGGAAGGAGCCCAGAAGGGCGUGGCUCGACCGAGCGUCUGUUCACCAAUCAGGAGUCUCUCCGUCCGCCGCAGAUCUGGGGCUAGAGUUGAAAACACAGAGUUUGACGUGAAAAUGCCUAUUAAUAAUAUGCUAUGCAUUGUUUUGACUUCUUUUUCAAAUAGUUCUUAUUACUAUGGAUACCAAGGUAAAGAAUGCUAUUUUCCUACAUUUUGGUCAUGGUCCGUUCAUGUUUUAUGUUGGUUGACAACUCCUUCCGACAAUUUUUUUCCAGGGAAGACGUAUUUUUAUUAUUAUUAUUAUAAUGAUUAUUAUUAUUAUGAUUAUUAUUAUGAUAUGUACAAAUAUGGUUCCUAUGAAGUGCAAGCCUUUGUGAAUGGAAACUUGUUAGUCUCCCAUUUCUUUUACACGUUUUUUCUAAUAUAUGAUAUGGAUGUCUGCACUUAAUAAAAGCCAUUGUGUGUAGAACCUGGCCUGGCCUGCCUUUUGUGUGUGUGUGUGUGUGUGUGUGUACGCGUGUGCACAUGAUUAUCAAUGAUUAGUGCAGCAAAUGUGUACACACAUGGCCACUGUUUUGGGUGUGUGUGUGUGUGUGAAAUGUGUUAUGAAAUAACGUCCUAGAGCACAGACACCCAAAACUGUCAUUAGGAUUUGAGUAGAAGACAGUUGAACCAGAUGAAAUGAAACUAGUCAGCCCCACUCUUAACAUACACUAGUACUUUAGAACAGCCCCACUCUAAGCAUACCCAAAACUAAACCGUAUAAAACUUUGCGGUCCUGAUACGGCCCGGUUCUGGCCCUGAUGUGGC
Molecule: long non-coding RNA, 3320 nt
Organism: Clupea harengus (Atlantic herring)
Lineage: Eukaryota; Metazoa; Chordata; Actinopteri; Clupeiformes; Clupeidae
Source: Ensembl